RNAcentral lists this long non-coding RNA (262 nucleotides) under Bos taurus (domestic cattle). RNAcentral's name for it is "long non-coding RNA NONBTAT000926". Lineage: Eukaryota; Metazoa; Chordata; Mammalia; Artiodactyla; Bovidae. The record is from RNAcentral.
AUUUUUUGUUAUUGCAUUCAGAACAGGACACAUUUUGCCACUGGAUAAUAGGCCAAAGUGUAUAGCUUAUAUAGCAGGUUUAUAUCAGGUUAUAUUGUCACCAUAUUUUGAAAUCACUAUUUUUCAUAUUAUAAUUUAACGUCAGCUGUGUAUGACUCCUCUGCUUUCAUCUCAUCCAAUACUUAUUCAUUGAAUACUUGCUUAAAACAUCCUCUCUGAGUACAUUUUACUCUCUUCUCCUUCCCUACUUACUUUUUCUUUA